This 1462-nucleotide ribosomal RNA is filed under the name metagenome. RNAcentral's name for it is "bacterial SSU rRNA". It matches the Rfam family "Archaeal small subunit ribosomal RNA". The record is from RNAcentral.
ACCGGUUGAUCCUGCCGGACCUGACUGCUAUGGGGAUUGGAUUAAGCUAUGCGAGUGGAGCGGACUUGGCUAUGAAAGUCCGCCGCAUACGGCUCAGUAACGCGUAGUCAACUUACCCUUCGGAUGAGAAUACCCCCGGGAAACUGGGGCUAAAUCUCAAUAAGUAUCCAACGCUGAAACGCAUGGAUACAAAAACAGGGCACUAUCAUGCAUGUGUCACUGCCGAAGGAUAGGACUGCGUCCUAUCAGCUUGUAGGUAGUGUAAAGGACUACCUAGGCGAUAACGGGUACCGGCGAUGUAAGUCGGAGCCGGGAGAAGGACACUUAGACAAGGGUCCUGGCACUACGGUGCGCAGCAAGCGCGAAACCUCUUCAAUACGCGAAAGCGUGAAAGGGCAAUCCCCAGUGCCUACCUAUAAAGUGGGCUUUUCAAUACUGUAAGUAAGUGUUGGAAUAAGGCGAGGGCAAGGCUGGUGCCAGCCGCCGCGGUAAAACCAGCUCGUCAAGUGGUCAGGAUAAUUAUUGAGGCUAAAGCGUCCGUAGAUUUUCUAGCAAACCCCUGGUUAAAUCCACCUGCUCAACAGGUGGGCCGCUAGGGGGACUACUAGAAUCGGAGACGGGAGAGGUAGAGGGUACUACGCGGGAAGGGGUGGAAUCCUAUAAUCCGCGUGGGACCACCAGUGGCGAAGGCGCUCUACUAGAACGUGCUCGACAUUGAGGGACGAAACCUGAGGGAGAGGACCGGAUUAGAUACCCGGGUAUUCUCAGGCGUAAACGAUGCCGGUUAGGUGUUGACCCGACCAAGAGUCGCGUCAGUGCCGUAGCGAAGGCGUUAAACCGGCCCCUUGGGAAGUACGGCCGCAAGGCUGAAACUUAAAGGAAUUGGCGGGGGAGUACCACAAGGCGUGAAGCCUGCGGUUUAAUUGGACCCAACGCCGAGAAACUCACCAGGGGCGACAGCAGUUUGAAGGUCAAGCUAAUGACUUUACCUGACGCGCUGAGAGCUGGUGCAUGGCCGUCGACAGCUCGUGCCAUGAGGUGUCUGCUUAAGUGCAGCAACGAGCGAGACCCCCGCCUUCAGUUGCCACCAAUUGGCGAAAUCCUAUUGAGCACACUGAAGGGACCGCUAGCGAUAAGCUGGAGGAAGGUAGGGGCAACGGCAGGUCAGUAUGCCGCGAAUCUCCUGGGCUACACGCGGGCUGCAAUGGUCGAGACAAAGGGCUCCUACUCCGAAAGGAGACGGUAAUCCCCAAACUCGAUCUCGGUUGGGAUUGAGGACUGUAACUCGUUCUCAUGAACCUGGAAUGCCUAGUAACUGCGUUUCAACAAAGCGCGGUGAAUACGUCCCUGCUCCUUGCACACACCGCCCGUCGCUCCACGAGAGUUGGCUUUGGGCGAGAAGCGGUCCUUUGGGUCGUUUCGAACCUUGGGUCGAUGAUCGGGGAGAAGUCGUAACAAGGUA